GCAGUUGAAACAGUGAUUGGAAGAGCUCAGAUGGAACGUGAAUAGCACGGGGUGUGUGUGUGUGUGUGUGUGUGUGUGUGUGUGUGUGUGUGUGUGUGUGUGUGUGUGUGUGUGUGUAGAGGGAAACAGUGUCUCUUUUUCAUGAGCUCCUCUGCUGUAUAAUUGCUCCCUGCCUCUUCCUGUGAUCCACGCUGAUGUAGGGGAGGGCUCAACUUCUGACGUUAUACAAAUAGGAAUUCCCUUCGCUAGUCUCUCUCACUCCGCUCUCAUUCACUUUCACCCCGUCUGGCCCCCAGACGAACUCACUCUCCCUCUCCCUCUCUCUCUUUAUCUCUCUCUCUCUUUAUCUCUCUCUCUCUCUCUCUCUCUCUCUCUCUCUCUCUCUCUCUCCUAUAUAAACACUUAUAGUGUCUAUACUGGAGUCGGACACUCCCUCUGAGACACAGCUGCUAUAAGGUUCCUCUCACGCUCUGAACGGAGGACAUACAGAGAGAGAAAGCCGUCCGAUCACCCAGUCUCGAAAGACCGUGCCAGACGCUGCACAGCCAAAACAACAUCCAGAGGAAGGCGAAGGACAAAAAAAAAGUGUGGCAAAACCAGAAAGGCCAAGCCGGGAGUAUUAGACGAGGUGUGCAAGCUGGAGCGCUAGAUCACAAGAGAGCGAAAGCGGCCGGAGUCUACAGGAAGCCCAGUCUCUCAGACACUAGAAGAAGGAGGGGCCAGCUGCAGUGACCACGGACUACAUGACAAAAAAUGAGAGCCCUUCUGUAUGAUAUGAAAGGACAGAUGUAGAAAUGUAGGACCCCACCUCAGCCAGAAUGACUCAAGCCCAG
Molecule: long non-coding RNA, 833 nt
Organism: Cyprinus carpio carpio
Lineage: Eukaryota; Metazoa; Chordata; Actinopteri; Cypriniformes; Cyprinidae
Source: Ensembl